GUGGGGAAUAUUGCACAAUGGGCGCAAGCCUGAUGCAGCAACGCCGCGUGAGGGACGACGGCCUUCGGGUUGUAAACCUCUUUUAGCAGGGAAGAAGGGAGCUUGCUCUUGACGGUACCUGCAGAAAAAGCACCGGCUAACUACGUGCCAGCAGCCGCGGUAAUACGUAGGGUGCAAGCGUUGUCCGGAAUUAUUGGGCGUAAAGAGCUCGUAGGCGGUUUGUCGCGUCUGCUGUGAAAUCCCGAGGCUCAACCUCGGGCCUGCAGUGGGUACGGGCAGACUAGAGUGCGGUAGGGGAGAUUGGAAUUCCUGGUGUAGCGGUGGAAUGCGCAGAUAUCAGGAGGAACACCGAUGGCGAAGGCAGAUCUCUGGGCCGUAACUGACGCUGAGGAGCGAAAGCGUGGGGAGCGAACAGGAUUAGAAACCCUUGUAGUCC
This 436-nucleotide ribosomal RNA is filed under the name uncultured bacterium. Its description in RNAcentral is "bacterial SSU rRNA". It matches the Rfam family "Bacterial small subunit ribosomal RNA", at positions 354 to 796 of the family's 1533-position model. The record is from RNAcentral.